CACGUAGGCACCAAGCGUUGUCCGGAUUUAUUGGGCGUAAAGAGCUCGUAGGCGGCUCGGUAAGUCGGGUGUGAAACCUCCAGGCUCAACCUGGAGACGCCACCUGAUACUGCUGUGGCUAGAGUCCGGUAGGGGAGCGUGGAAUUCCUGGUGUAGCGGUGAAAUGCGCAGAUAUCAGGAGGAACACCAGCGGCGAAGGCGGCGCUCUGGGCCGGAACUGACGCUGAGGAGCGAAAGCGUGGGUAGCAAACAGG
This 254-nucleotide ribosomal RNA is filed under the name uncultured bacterium. RNAcentral's name for it is "partial 16S ribosomal RNA". It matches the Rfam family "Bacterial small subunit ribosomal RNA", at positions 524 to 776 of the family's 1533-position model. The record is from RNAcentral.